RNAcentral lists this ribosomal RNA (497 nucleotides) under uncultured bacterium. RNAcentral describes it as "partial 16S ribosomal RNA". It matches the Rfam family "Bacterial small subunit ribosomal RNA", at positions 28 to 507 of the family's 1533-position model. The record is from RNAcentral.
GAUGAACGCUGGCGGCGUGCCUAAUACAUGCAAGUCGAGCGAACGGACGAGGAGCUUGCUCCUUUGACGUUAGCGGCGGACGGGUGAGUAACACGUGGAUAACCUACCUAUAAGACUGGGAUAACUUCGGGAAACCGGAGCUAAUACCGGAUAAUAUAUUGAACCGCAUGGUUCAAUAGUGAAAGACGGUUUUGCUGUCACUUAUAGAUGGAUCCGCGCCGCAUUAGCUAGUUGGUAAGGUAACGGCUUACCAAGGCAACGAUGCGUAGCCGACCUGAGAGGGUGAUCGGCCACACUGGAACUGAGACACGGUCCAGACUCCUACGGGAGGCAGCAGUAGGGAAUCUUCCGCAAAGGGCGAAAGCCUGACGGAGCAACGCCGCGUGAGUGAUGAAGGUCUUCGGAUCGUAAAACUCUGUUAUUAGGGAAGAACAAAUGUGUAAGUAACUAUGCACGUCUUGACGGUACCUAAUCAGAAAGCCACGGCUAACUACGUG